This 253-nucleotide ribosomal RNA is filed under the name uncultured bacterium. Its description in RNAcentral is "partial 16S ribosomal RNA". It matches the Rfam family "Bacterial small subunit ribosomal RNA", at positions 524 to 776 of the family's 1533-position model. The record is from RNAcentral.
UACAGAGGUGGCAAGCGUUGUUCGGAAUCACUGGGCGUAAAGGGCGCGUAGGUGGCGAGCCAAGUCCAUGGUGAAAGCUCGAUGCUCAACAUCGAGUCGGCCACGGAUACUGGUGCGCUUGAGCACUGUAGAGGCUAAUGGAAUUCCGGGUGUAGCGGUGGAAUGCGUAGAGAUCCGGAAGAACACCGGUGACGAAGGCGGUUAGCUGGGCAGUUGCUGACACUGAGGCGCGACAGCGUGGGGAGCAAACAGG